GACAGAGGGUGCAAACGUUGUUCGGAAUCACUGGGCGUAAAGCGCACGUAGGCGGCUUGUUAAGUCAGGGGGGAAAUCCUGGAGCUCAACUCCAGAACUGCCUUUGAUACUGGCGAGCUUGAGUUCGGGAGAGGUGAGUGGAACUGCGAGUGUAGAGGUGAAAUUCGUAGAUAUUCGCAAGAACACCAGUGGCGAAGGCGGCUCACUGGCCCGAUACUGACGCUGAGGUGCGAAAGCGUGGGGAGCAAACAGG
This 253-nucleotide ribosomal RNA is filed under the name uncultured bacterium. RNAcentral describes it as "partial 16S ribosomal RNA". It matches the Rfam family "Bacterial small subunit ribosomal RNA", at positions 524 to 776 of the family's 1533-position model. The record is from RNAcentral.